GGUAAAGUAUGGUCUUGGUUCUCAAAUAGUUGCUUGUGUCCAUUUCCGUUGAGUAGAUUAAUAUACCUGGUUAUUUCGCUACUCUUGUGUUUAAGUUUUUAUACGUACAAAAGUUUUAAAAAUGUUUUUGUAUAGUUAUUAAUAUUUAAAUACCUAACGUUGGUUAAAAUCUAAACCUGACAAGUAAUUGUUUAACCGUCGUGUUGGGAAAAUUAGUGUCUCGUCAAUGGAUUUAUUGUGAAUAGAUUACAAUAGUUAUAAAUAGAUAUUAAAUAGUUUUUUCAUUCUUUUAUCUAAUCAUGAAACAUUCAUCUUAACUAUUUGCUGUUUCAUUUGUGUAGGCAUGUAAUGGGCCAUUUUGUGGGCUUUCUUUUUAGGUGUGUAAAGCUUUGAAGUUACAUUGCUACAUCAACAUGUACUAUGGUUGUCAGCUAUAUGAAAUAAUCAAAAGAAGUUUGUCUUGUGCUGUGACCAUUCCUAUAGUAGCAGAUAGUUUCAGUAUGAUGGAAGGCUGGUCACAUGUUGGGUGUGGGUAACUCUUGAGGUUUGAGUGGAGUUUAGGCAGAGGGAGAGUUAGUCAGUGUGAAACCAAACAAAAUUACUGAUGAAUUCUUGUUGGGUGGUUAGCAGUAAUGGAUAGUUGAAACAUGGCAUAUAUUUUUGUUUUAAGGAAAUUUUACAAAUUGUUUUGAUUAUUAAUGUUUGGUAGGUUUUUUAUUGUUUCCUGAAGUAGUAGAUGGUUGCUGUUUGACGGAAGGCUGGUAAAAUGUUGGGUGAGGUGAGCUGUGGAGGUAUGAACUCGAAUGCACAACUAAUUUUGGCCUGGAGUGUUGGUUAUGAAGCGCAUUGCGAGUUUCACAGGAAUAUCUUCAAAGAUUGGCCCUUCUGAACUGCACAUGAAAUAUAAAAAAAAAUCAUCUGACUAAAGAAACUGUUUUGCCAUACCACCAGUGAUUAUCUUUUAUUAUUCAUUUUAUUGCAUUUUCAGGAGAUGGUUCCCGGUUCGACGGAAAGCCAGUCGCAUCGUGAUCAAGGGAAGGUGUAAAUGUAUGGCCGUAAAUGCACUCGGCCUACAUUUGCAGGAUUUGGGGGGUCUGAACUGCGUUGUAGGUUUGAGUACAGUUCAAGCAGAAGGGGUUUGGUCUGUAUCAAAUCAAACGUAAUCCAGGAUGAAUUCUUUUCGGUUGGUUAUCAGUUAUGGGUAAGCGAAACGUGUAUUUUUCGGUGGUCAAGGUCCAAGCAAAAAGAAAGCUUACCCAACGUAGACACCAAUAGACGGUACGGGGGCAUGUGGUUUCAACCAUCCAAAUACGCCAUGAAUGUUAUCGACUAAAUUAGUUAUCGUAGAUCUCGAAGCAGUAGAUGGUAAUGUAUGAAGGACAGCAAAUUUUAUGGGGAUACCCUCGAGUCAUAAGGCCUAUCUAAACCGCGUUGCGAGUUCAAGAAACUUCAGGCAGAAGGAGAGCUGGUCGGUGUGACAAACGAAAGCGCAGAAGAAUUCUUGUCGGUUACCAUUCAGGGUUUAUUUUUAAUACUCUGUUGCGUCGACGAAUUGGAACUGGUUACCAACCAUCGAAUGGAGCGGAAUGUGGUUUCCAUCAUCCAACUACCCCUUCAUUAUUCUUCAGUAUUUAUAAUAUAUGAAACGUUAAUACCUGCUGUGUAUACCAUAACUACAAUGAGACUGUUUUUUUAAAUGCUGAUAUGAAGGUUGUUUACUGUAUAUCAAAUUUCCUGUUCUAAUUGAAGUUGUGAUCAAAAACAUUAGGUUUGUGUUUCCUCAUUUGCGAUAGUCAAAAUAAAUUUGGGCAAAACAACAA
Molecule: long non-coding RNA, 1820 nt
Organism: Daphnia carinata
Lineage: Eukaryota; Metazoa; Arthropoda; Branchiopoda; Diplostraca; Daphniidae
Exons: 9
Source: RefSeq, a predicted model, not a curated record